GCCUGACUGGCUCGGUAGGUAGAGCAUGCAAUUCUUAAUCUUAGGGUCAUGAAUUCAAUCUCCAUGUUGGGCA
This is a non-coding RNA of Canis lupus familiaris (dog), 73 nucleotides long. NCBI's taxonomy places the organism in Eukaryota, Metazoa, Chordata, Mammalia, Carnivora, Canidae. The record is from Rfam.